Molecule: long non-coding RNA, 488 nt
Filed under: Coccomyxa subellipsoidea
Lineage: Eukaryota; Viridiplantae; Chlorophyta; Trebouxiophyceae; Coccomyxaceae
Description: long non-coding RNA (CSUB_LNC000558)
Source: RNAcentral
GCACCUUCAGCCUUCGUCAGGUGUAUUUCGUCCAACUGCAAUUGCCAGGUGGUUUUGCAGGUGCCUGAUGCCUGUGCCCACUCCCGCAUGCUCAUGUGAGCGGCGAUCACUUGCCAUACAUCAGGAGAAAAUCCUACAUCUCUACAGCACUCCUUUGCCAUCCUGCAGGUGCAUCAGCGCGAUGUGAUCCUUCAGUGCUGCUCUCCAAGCACGGAGACAGGUGGACAUAAACGCUCAAUCUGCAGGCGGCUUGCUCGUUGCGAUAAGUGAUGGAAGGGGAUUUGGAUCACUUCUGCCAUAUUGAUAUGAGUUGAUGAAAGAAAUGAACCCAAUCGCCUUGAACAAACUGCCACCAUUAGAUUGUAUAUUACGCUUCCAAAGACUCCCUUUCUGGAUAAAGAACGCACCUAUGACCUCCGGUUAAUUCAAUUUGAUAUACAGGAUGCGUCAAUACCUCAAUUUUGAGCAUUCGCUUUCACCAGUUGCCA